UGGUUCUGGCAUCGAUGAAGAACGCAGCGAAAUGCGAUAAGUAAUGUGAAUUGCAGAAUUCAGUGAAUCAUCGAAUCUUUGAACGCACAUUGCGCCUGCUAGUAUUCUGGCAGGCAUGCCUGUUCGAGCGUCAUUUCAACCCUCAGGCCCCUCGUGGUCUGGCGUUGGGGCUGCUCUGCGGCGUUUUCGCCGCAGGCCCUGAAGAACAGUGGCGGGCCCGCUGAGACCCCGAGCGUAGUAGAACACACCUCGCUAAGGGAGCCUCGGCGGGAUCCUAGCCGUAAAAAAAGGCUGCCGGAGCCUCUCCUGCACCAUAUUUUUACAAGGUUGACCUCGGAUCAGGUAGGAAUACCCGCUGA
This 359-nucleotide unclassified non-coding RNA is filed under the name uncultured fungus. RNAcentral's name for it is "partial contains 5.8S ribosomal RNA and internal transcribed spacer 2". The stretch from base 1 to 133 matches the Rfam family "5.8S ribosomal RNA", at positions 22 to 154 of the family's 154-position model. Lineage: Eukaryota; Fungi. The record is from RNAcentral.